UACGUAGGGUCCGAGCGUUGUCCGGAAUUACUGGGCGUAAAGAGCUCGUAGGUGGUUUGUCGCGUUGUUCGUGAAAACUCACAGCUCAACUGUGGGCGUGCGGGCGAUACGGGCAGACUUGAGUACUGCAGGGGAGACUGGAAUUCCUGGUGCAGCGGUGGAAUGCGCAGAUAUCAGGAGGAACACCGGUGGCGAAGGCGGGUCUCUGGGCAGUAACUGACGCUGAGGAGCGAAAGCGUGGGGAGCGAACAGG
Molecule: ribosomal RNA, 253 nt
Filed under: uncultured bacterium
Lineage: Bacteria
Description: partial 16S ribosomal RNA
Rfam family: Bacterial small subunit ribosomal RNA
Source: RNAcentral